CUGGCGAUGCUUUACCAUGCAGUCGAACGGCAGCACGGGUGCUUGCACCUGGUGGCGAGUGGCGAACGGGUGAGUAAUGCGUCGGAACGUACCGAGUAAUGGGGGAUAACGCAGCGAAAGUUGUGCUAAUACCGCAUACGCCCUGAGGGGGAAAGUGGGGGACCGCAAGGCCUCACGUUAUUCGAGCGGCCGACGUCUGAUUAGCUAGUUGGUGGGGUAAAGGCCUACCAAGGCGACGAUCAGUAGCGGGUCUGAGAGGAUGAUCCGCCACACUGGGACUGAGACACGGCCCAGACUCCUACGGGAGGCAGCAGUGGGGAAUUUUGGACAAUGGGGGCAACCCUGAUCCAGCCAUUCCGCGUGAGUGAAGAAGGCCUUCGGGUUGUAAAGCUCUUUCAGCAGGAACGAAACGGUACGCUCUAACAUAGUGUGCUAAUGACGGUACCUGCAGAAGAAGCACCGGCUAACUACGUGCCAGCAGCCGCGGUAAUACGUAGGGUGCGAGCGUUAAUCGGAAUUACUGGGCGUAAAGCGUGCGCAGGCGGAUUGUUAAGCAAGAUGUGAAAUCCCCGGGCUUAACCUGGGAAUGGCAUUUUGAACUGGCAGUCUAGAGUGUGUCAGAGGGGGGUGGAAUUCCACGUGUAGCAGUGAAAUGCGUAGAGAUGUGGAGGAACACCAAUGGCGAAGGCAGCCCCCUGGGAUAACACUGACGCUCAUGUACGAAAGCGUGGGUAGCAAACAGGAUUAGAUACCCUGGUAGUCCACGCCCUAAACGAUGUCAACUGGUUGUUGGGGGGGAGUGAAAUCCCUUUAGUACGAA
Molecule: ribosomal RNA, 820 nt
Filed under: uncultured Thiobacillus sp.
Lineage: Bacteria; Pseudomonadati; Pseudomonadota; Betaproteobacteria; Nitrosomonadales; Thiobacillaceae
Description: bacterial SSU rRNA
Rfam family: Bacterial small subunit ribosomal RNA
Source: RNAcentral